Molecule: long non-coding RNA, 116 nt
Organism: Haliotis rubra (blacklip abalone)
Lineage: Eukaryota; Metazoa; Mollusca; Gastropoda; Lepetellida; Haliotidae
Exons: 3
Source: RefSeq, a predicted model, not a curated record
CCCCAGAUAGCAAUGUUUGUUGGGCCAAUGUUGGACCAACAUUGGCCAUCAUUGGGCCUACGUUGGCCAAUGUUGGCCCAACGAACAUUGCUAUCAGGCACUUCUUGUACAAUUUC